This 1067-nucleotide long non-coding RNA is filed under the name Anser cygnoides (Swan goose). RNAcentral describes it as "lncRNA (ENSACDG00005016685.1)". The record is from RNAcentral. Lineage: Eukaryota; Metazoa; Chordata; Aves; Anseriformes; Anatidae.
GGAAGGAAGGAAGGAAGGAAGGAAGGAAGGAAGGAAGGAAGGAAGGAAGGAAGGAAGGAAGGAAGGAAGGAAGGAAGGAAGGAAGGAAGGAAGGAAGGGGGAAGGAGGGAAGGAAUAUACCAGCUUCAGAUAAUUGAUUUUCACUUAUGCUCUCAGAAAGAGAACAGACUGUACAGAGCAUUUUAUUCUUGUUAUUAUUCUCACAAAGAAGUCUUCAGGGUGGUUAUUUGAUAUUUUAAAGCUGAUAACUCUCAAGAACUAACCUUUCAAAAUUGCAUACCAUAUAGAAUGUACUAUGAUAUUUUAGAAUAUGCAUAUGAUUGGAAAAGUUUUAUAAUGCAUGCUAGACAAUAGCUAGUAUUUUUAACACUAUUUGCACAUGAAAUUAUUCAUGAAGUAUCCUCCAAUCAGGGAGAAGUGAGGACAUUUUUCCUAACAUAGAUGGAUAAAUGGUAAAACUGGAAAUUCUUUUAUUAAAGCUAGACAACAGAUACAAAAACACCAGGAGUAGAAUCUGGCCAUAAACUUUAUGGGGUUUCAGCUAUAUAUUCCUUUCACCAAACUGUUUCAUUUUUAACUCUGCUCUUUUUUUUCUUUUUUUUUUUUUUGUCAUUACAGUAUUUAAGCCCAUGCGUGCAUGUGUGUUUUGUGUGAAGCCCACACUGACAUCACUAUCGCUCAUAGCCAAAUGGACAGAGAUAUGCUGAAGAAAAGAGUAUUGAAGAGUGUUUCAAUUCCACAGAGAUCUCAAGCUAUUGAAUGUGGGAUCAGUCCCUUAGAACUGACUGCAGGUAGAACUGAGAAGAGUUGUGAGGCUGCUCUAUGCUGCUCCUCAGGACAGUAAUGAAUCCUUCACCAUACAAGUUUACAUUUUUUUGCCAAGCAUAAGAAUUAAAUUGUUAUUUCAAAUUUUGUCAAUUGUUGUGUGCAUAUUAUUUUACAAGUCUGUAUUCUUUAGAAAUAGAAUUGUUUGUGCGAGUCUAGAUCUAUUAAUGUUGCAGUUUAUACUCUUAACUGUUUACAGAUUCUUUCAUGCUGUGCCAAUAAAAUUUUUCAAGAUCCUAACA